GCGGCCUAUCAGCUUGUUGGGGAGGUAACGGCUCACCAAGGCUUCGACGGGUAGCUGGUCUGAGAGGAUGAUCAGCCACACUGGGACUGAGACACGGCCCAGACUCCUACGGGAGGCAGCAGUGGGGAAUCUUGCGCAAUGGGCGAAAGCCUGACGCAGCAACGCCGCGUGCGGGAUGAAGGCCUUCGGGUUGUAAACCGCUUUUAACAGGAACGAAAAAUGACGGUACCUGUAGAAUAAGGUGCGGCCAACUACGUGCCAGCAGCCGCGGUGACACGUAGGCACCAAGCGUUGUCCGGAUUUAUUGGGCGUAAAGAGCUCGUAGGCGGUUCAGUAAGUCGGGUGUGAAAACUCUGGGCUUAACCCAGAGACGCCACUCGAUACUACUGUGACUAGAGUUCGGUAGGGGAGACUGGAAUUCCU
This 423-nucleotide ribosomal RNA is filed under the name uncultured Actinomycetes bacterium. RNAcentral's name for it is "bacterial SSU rRNA". It matches the Rfam family "Bacterial small subunit ribosomal RNA", at positions 233 to 671 of the family's 1533-position model. The record is from RNAcentral. Lineage: Bacteria; Bacillati; Actinomycetota; Actinomycetes.